AUCUGGGCGGCGGAAUUCAGGAUGGCUGCGCUGCUCUUGUGCGGCGCGGUCGUUUGAUAUUUCCGUCGCCGUGUCGGACGUCGCGACCUGUUCGCGUUCGUCGGUCCCUGCUCGGAGGAAGCGCGAUCGAGCUCGUUGCGCGGUACGCUCCGGCGUGCGGCGCGGCGAAGACGCGACUCUCUGGCCGACGGCGGACAGUAAGCAACGGUGGUCGGCGUCGUGUCUCGCACUCGACGUCGGUGCCGGUCUGCGACGAUUUCUUCGGGCCUCUUUCCGACCCGUCUUGAAACACGGACCAAGGAGUCUAACAUGCGCGCGAGUCGCGGGGCAUCGAGCGUACCACGGUGCGCUCGUCAUGUGCGAAACCCGUCUCUGAAAGGCGUAAUGAAAGUGAACAGGGAAGAUGGCGUUCCGAGUCCACGUACCGUGAUCGAGUGUCGCGGCCGGACGUCCGCACUCCCGGGGCGUCUCGAUGGCUCGUCGCGGACGCGGACGAUCGUCUCUCCGGGGACGGUGGUCGGUCUGCGUCGGACCGA
RNAcentral lists this ribosomal RNA (536 nucleotides) under Pseudaulacaspis cockerelli. Its description in RNAcentral is "eukaryotic LSU rRNA". Lineage: Eukaryota; Metazoa; Arthropoda; Insecta; Hemiptera; Diaspididae. The record is from RNAcentral.